CUGUACCUACGGGGGGCAGCAGUGAGGAAUAUUGGUCAAUGGGCUUACGCCUGAACCAGCCAAGUCGCGUGAGGGAAGACUGCCCUACGGGUUGUAAACUUCUUUUAUAAAGGAAUAAAGUGAGGCACGUGUGCCUUUUUGUAUGUACUUUAUGAAUAAGGAUCGGCUAACUCCGUGCCAGCAGCCGCGGUAAUACGGAGGAUCCGAGCGUUAUCCGGAUUUAUUGGGUCUAAAGGGAGCGUAGAUGGGUUGUUAAGUCAGUUGUGAAAGUUUGCGGCUCAACCGUAAAAUUGCAAUUGAUACUG
Molecule: ribosomal RNA, 305 nt
Filed under: uncultured bacterium
Lineage: Bacteria
Description: bacterial SSU rRNA
Rfam family: Bacterial small subunit ribosomal RNA
Source: RNAcentral